AAAAACUCCUCAAGAAAUGAAGAACAAGAUAAUUCUGGCACUAUUCUACUACUAUCUCCCUCCAAUUCAUCCUCAUCUACUCCUCCUAGUGAAACCUAAAACCUAGGUUUUGAAGGCACAAAAUGCUAGCUAGAAAAACUCUACCUUUUAGAAAAUUGAGAAAGGUUUUAAAUAAGAAAUUGAAAGCUAUCCAGAUGAAAGAAAGCCCAUGUUAAGAAUCUGACUCAAGUUCUGAGUCAGAAUCAUUUAAAUCUGUUAGUGAAGGUGAAGGAUAUGGGUCUCCUAACACUGAGAAAAUUCAAGAAACCCUUGUUGAGG
Molecule: long non-coding RNA, 318 nt
Filed under: Nicotiana benthamiana
Lineage: Eukaryota; Viridiplantae; Streptophyta; Magnoliopsida; Solanales; Solanaceae
Description: long non-coding RNA (NBEN_LNC028775)
Source: RNAcentral